Molecule: unclassified non-coding RNA, 93 nt
Filed under: Flavobacterium fryxellicola
Lineage: Bacteria; Pseudomonadati; Bacteroidota; Flavobacteriia; Flavobacteriales; Flavobacteriaceae
Description: Flavo-1 RNA
Source: RNAcentral
GACAAGCUUGCGUGAGGGACAGCAGUGGAGCUCUUUAUUAUACAGACUAUCAAGGCAGUAUAAAAAAAGCGGGAACGGAUUGCCCGACCCCGC